CAAUUGACACGCGCAACCGCGAUGUGAAUUGCCUCUAUUGCUUCUCAUUGCGUAAAAUUUGUUUUUAUUUGUGAAAUUUAUCAAACUGUAUUAUUCGAUAACAAAGUCCAGUCUUUCCUAAUUGAAAAAAGACCGAAUAAUUUUCAAAUUAUUCAGAAUCUCUUAAAUCUGAAGAAUUUCAUGUCUAUUAGUUUCAUCCUGCCUCUUUUCGUUCCUGUUUGUAUGUAGACUACUUUUAUGAAUAAUAUACUUGCGUCGUUUCUUCGAAAAUAUCUUUCUCUUUGUAGCCCAGAAAGUUCGAGGUUAUUUUCCCAAAAAAUUUGCAUUAAAUUUGAAAAAAUGUGAAUAGUAGUUGGAACCCCAGAAUUUUCGAAAAAAGUCAAAAUUUUGUACAUUUUCAAAUUUUUCGGGGUUGACAACCGCAAAUAAGUGGUGCCCUUUUUAACAGUGUAAAUGUGACGUAACAUUACUUUCAGUUGAAAAAGCAAAUUAAUUUGAUCGAAUCAUCUAAAUCAGAAAAAAAAUAAAUCAGUAUAGUGAGUAUGUCAUCGUUGAUAAAUUCAUUAUCUGGUCAGUCUCAACAUUGAGAAUAUUAUUGUUGGCCAAAGAGUUGUAAUUUUAUCGGUAUUCCUAAAGCGAGGAUUACCAACUUGCCCACGGGCCAACUAGCCCUACUUCCCCGUAUCCACAACACAGCCGUAUUUGGAAAACACAUAAGUUCUGAUGCUACAGUACUUAAUACCCUGUAGCCAACUGCAUCCUUACCAUUAAGAAAUACAAGCCACAGAUAUCCUAUCUCGACUCUUAUGAAAUUCAUCUAGCUAUAGGGCUGUUCUACAUCUUUUUUCGCAUUUGAUUCUAUCGCGCAACGCAGCAUUCGACGGCCGAUUCUGUCUGCUAUGACGGAAUUGUAAGAGAUAGUUUAUUUUACACUAGUUCUUUGUUUUCAGUGGAAAAAAUUGUCGUUUAAAGUAGUUUAAAGUAUAGAGUAGUCUGAAGAUUUGACAUUAAUAGAAUGGGUGUCAGAAGGUGCAAAGUGUCUAACUGUCGCAACACAAAAAGCGGAAGUGUAAAAGUAUUUAGUUAACCGAAGGCGGGCAAACGACGAGACCUGUGGUUGUUAACCACCGAAAUAAUCGAGAUGAAAAUGUGGCUAACUCAGUGGCCAAAAGGGCCACGCUGCGAUGUAUUAAACACGAACGAGGUUACAAAUGCAAAAAAGGGGGCGACAGGUUUGCGACUGUCCACCACAACGAAAACGAAUCAGAAGGACCUCGUUGCCGCAUUUCCCUCCGUCUUCGACUACGACGGAAAUGCAGAAAAAGGGUAAAACAAAAGAAGGGUGCUAACGCGAACAUUUAGUUUUAGGUGUAAAUGGAGUGGCGGAAGUGUAAGGGAGGGUAACCUAUAGCAAAACCAAAGGGUAUUAGUUUAGCCAAGGUCAGACAAGUUUAGACUUGUCUGCCCCUCGGCAAUGACACGAUCAUACACACACACGCACAUACACACACAGGCAUACAAAACGAAAAUUAAAUAAACAUUAAUUCCUAACGACUUCUGUCGUUAACAGACGCAUGGACUAGUAGAAAUCAAUCGUAUCUCGGUGAGACCAUUCAUUGGUUUGACGGCGAAUCCUUAAAACGAAGAAGUGCCUGUCUUGGCAUACGACGGAUCAAAGGGCGCCAUACGUAUGAAGUGCUGACAAAAAUGAUUAAAGAUCUCCCACAAGGUAUAUGAAGUAGUUGACAAGCUGCGAGGGGCAACAACCGACAACGGUUCCAAAUUUUUAAAGGCCUUUCGGGAGAGUGGGAAUGCAUCUGAUGUGCCCAACUAUGAUGAUGAUGACUUUGAACAAUCUGACGAAAAAGACAUGUUAUACUUCAAAAUUGGUGAAAUUAUUGACGGUAGAAUCACACAAGACUAUUUCGCUAACAAUGUGAAUCCCACUCUACCUAUGCACCGAAAAUGUGCCUGUCAUCUGUUGAGUUUGAUAGCGAAGGCUGACAUAUCAAAGAUUCAAGAUCACACAUUUCAAGAAUUGAGAAAUUCGACGCUUGUAAAAAUUCAACUUUUGCUGAAUAAACAAACAUGAAGUCUCUUGAAUUUGGAUCUCAUAACGGAACUAAUUGGACAACUGUUCAUUCAAAAAAACGAAACAAGAUGGAAUUCAGAGUAUUACGCUAUAUACGCUGCAUUGUCCGAUUAUUGAGAACGAAGAGUCGUGGCAUGAAGAAACUUUUUGAAGAGCUUCGUUCAACUCCUUUUACACCUAACGAGGAGCAAUUCCUGAAGGAAUACACAAGGAUAAUGGGAUAUAUCACUGAUGCGUUAGACGUGUUGCAAGGCGAGAAAAAUAUUGGCUUGGGGUUUCUACUUCCAACAAUUUCUGUUUAAAAAAAAACUGGCUUUGCUACAAGACAAUGCGUCGAUUAUUAAAUGUCAAUCACUAAUCACCGGACUGCUUGACGCUAUCUAUGAGAGAUUUGAACACAUGUUCUCAGAUAAUGAGCUACGUUUGGCUCCGAUUACGAACCCAUUUUUUAAGCUAUCAUGGUUGGAUAAUGAAGACGAUGUUCGUCGCGCAAAAAUAUUGCUCAGAGGAGAAUUUGUCCGGUUUCAGAGACUAAACAACGAGUCCGAAUCUUCGGAUGAUUUAAGUGACAGGACCUCCUCUUCAGUAUCAGAUCCUAGUCCGGAGAAAAAACAGAGACGCUCGAAAGAUUUUUUUGCCUCAAUUACUAAACGAAAUGAAAAGUCAAAGGUAAUUGAUGAAGUAGAGACAUUCCUUAAGAUGUGUGGCAAUCUAGAUGACCUACCAAAUUAUCCAACCAUCAUGAAGAUGUAUAAACGAUCCUUUGCCCUCUUCCGCCGCAGUCGAGAGACUUUUUAGUCAAGUUGGACUUAUUUUUACCGCAAAGAGAUAUCAACUUACCGACCAACAUUUUGAAAUGUUACUUUAAAAAAAAAUUAACAACCUA
Molecule: long non-coding RNA, 2978 nt
Organism: Daphnia magna
Lineage: Eukaryota; Metazoa; Arthropoda; Branchiopoda; Diplostraca; Daphniidae
Exons: 4
Source: RefSeq, a predicted model, not a curated record